UAAGUGACUAAGCGUACACGGUGGAUGCCUGGGCAGUCAGAGGCGAUGAAGGACGUACUAACUUGCGAUAAGCGCAGAUAAGGCAGUAAGAGCCGUUUGAGUCUGCGAUUUCCGAAUGGGGAAACCCAACUGCAUAAGCAGUUACUGUUAACUGAAUACAUAGGUUAACAGAGCAAACCGGGGGAACUGAAACAUCUAAGUACCCCGAGGAGAAGAAAUCAACCGAGAUUCCGGUAGUAGCGGCGAGCGAACCUGGAUUAGCCCUUAAGCACUCGGUGAAGUAGGUGAACAAGCUGGAAAGCUUGGCGAUACAGGGUGAUAGCCCCGUAACCGACGCUUCAUCGAGCGUGAAAUCGAGUAGGGCGGGACACGUGAUAUCCUGUCUGAAUAUGGGGGGACCAUCCUCCAAGGCUAAAUACUCCUGACUGACCGAUAGUGAACCAGUACCGUGAGGGAAAGGCGAAAAGAACCCCUGUGAGGGGAGUGAAAUAGAACCUGAAACCGUGUACGUACAAGCAGUAGGAGCACCUUCGUGGUGUGACUGCGUACCUUUUGUAUAAUGGGUCAGCGACUUAUAUUCAGUGGCAAGGUUAACCGUAUAGGGGAGCCGUAGCGAAAGCGAGUCUUAACUGGGCGCUCAGUCUCUGGAUAUAGACCCGAAACCGGGUGAUCUAGCCAUGGGCAGGUUGAAGGUUGAGUAACAUCAACUGGAGGACCGAACCGACUAAUGUUGAAAAAUUAGCGGAUGACUUGUGGCUAGGGGUGAAAGGCCAAUCAAACUCGGAGAUAGCUGGUUCUCCCCGAAAGCUAUUUAGGUAGCGCCUCGGACGAAUACUACUGGGGGUAGAGCACUGUUAAGGCUAGGGGGUCAUCCCGACUUACCAACCCUUUGCAAACUCCGAAUACCAGUAAGUACUAUCCGGGAGACACACGGCGGGUGCUAACGUCCGUCGUGGAGAGGGAAACAACCCAGACCGCCAGCUAAGGUCCCAAAGUAUUGCUAAGUGGGAAACGAUGUGGGAAGGCUCAGACAGCUAGGAUGUUGGCUUAGAAGCAGCCAUCAUUUAAAGAAAGCGUAAUAGCUCACUAGUCGAGUCGGCCUGCGCGGAAGAUGUAACGGGGCUAAGCAAUACACCGAAGCUGCGGCAAUGUCUUUUAGACAUUGGGUAGGGGAGCGUUCUGUAAGCCGUUGAAGGUGAAUCGUAAGGUUUGCUGGAGGUAUCAGAAGUGCGAAUGCUGACAUGAGUAACGACAAAGGGGGUGAAAAACCUCCUCGCCGGAAGACCAAGGGUUCCUGUCCAACGUUAAUCGGGGCAGGGUGAGUCGACCCCUAAGGUGAGGCCGAAAGGCGUAAUCGAUGGGAAACGGGUUAAUAUUCCCGUACUUCUGACUAUUGCGAUGGGGGGACGGAGAAGGCUAGGUGGGCCAGGCGACGGUUGUCCUGGUUCAAGUGCGUAGGCUUGAGAGUUAGGUAAAUCCGGCUCUCUCUAAGGCUGAGACACGACGUCGAGCUGCUACGGCAGUGAAGUCAUUGAUGCCAUGCUUCCAGGAAAAGCCUCUAAGCUUCAGAUAGUCAGGAAUCGUACCCCAAACCGACACAGGUGGUCGGGUAGAGAAUACCAAGGCGCUUGAGAGAACUCGGGUGAAGGAACUAGGCAAAAUGGUACCGUAACUUCGGGAGAAGGUACGCUCUUGAUGGUGAAGUCCCUCGCGGAUGGAGCUGACGAGAGUCGCAGAUACCAGGUGGCUGCAACUGUUUAUUAAAAACACAGCACUGUGCAAAAUCGCAAGAUGACGUAUACGGUGUGACGCCUGCCCGGUGCCGGAAGGUUAAUUGAUGGGGUUAGCGCAAGCGAAGCUCUUGAUCGAAGCCCCGGUAAACGGCGGCCGUAACUAUAACGGUCCUAAGGUAGCGAAAUUCCUUGUCGGGUAAGUUCCGACCUGCACGAAUGGCGUAAUGAUGGCCACGCUGUCUCCACCCGAGACUCAGUGAAAUUGAAAUCGCUGUGAAGAUGCAGUGUACCCGCGGCUAGACGGAAAGACCCCGUGAACCUUUACUACAGCUUGGCACUGAACAUUGAACCUACAUGUGUAGGAUAGGUGGGAGGCUUUGAAGACGUGACGCCAGUUGCGUUGGAGCCGUCCUUGAAAUACCACCCUUGUAUGUUUGAUGUUCUAACUUAGACCCAUUAUCUGGGUUGAGGACAGUGCCUGGUGGGUAGUUUGACUGGGGCGGUCUCCUCCCAAAGAGUAACGGAGGAGCACGAAGGUGGGCUAAUCACGGUUGGACAUCGUGAGGUUAGUGCAAUGGCAUAAGCCCGCUUAACUGCGAGAAUGACGGUUCGAGCAGGUGCGAAAGCAGGUCAUAGUGAUCCGGUGGUUCUGUAUGAAGGGCCAUCGCUCAACGGAUAAAAGGUACUCCGGGGAUAACAGGCUGAUACCGCCCAAGAGUUCAUAUCGACGGCGGCGUUUGGCACCUCGAUGUCGGCUCAUCACAUCCUGGGGCUGAAGUCGGUCCCAAGGGUAUGGCUGUUCGCCAUUUAAAGUGGUACGCGAGCUGGGUUUAGAACGUCGUGAGACAGUUCGGUCCCUAUCUGCCGUGGGCGUUGGAAGAUUGAAGGGGGCUGCUCCUAGUACGAGAGGACCGGAGUGGACGAACCUCUGGUGUUCGGGUUGUGUCGCCAGACGCAUUGCCCGGUAGCUAAGUUCGGAAUUGAUAAGCACUGAAAGCAUCUAAGCGCGAAGCGAGCCCUGAGAUGAGUCUUCCCUGAUACUUUAAGUAUCCUAAAGGGUUGUUCGAGACUAGAACGUUGAUAGGCAGGGUGUGUAAGCGUUGUGAGGCGUUGAGCUAACCUGUACUAAUUGCCCGUGAGGCUUAACCA
This 2882-nucleotide ribosomal RNA is filed under the name Vibrio cholerae HC-46B1. Its description in RNAcentral is "bacterial LSU rRNA". It matches the Rfam family "Bacterial large subunit ribosomal RNA". The record is from RNAcentral. Lineage: Bacteria; Pseudomonadati; Pseudomonadota; Gammaproteobacteria; Vibrionales; Vibrionaceae.